Molecule: long non-coding RNA, 417 nt
Filed under: Panax ginseng (ginseng)
Lineage: Eukaryota; Viridiplantae; Streptophyta; Magnoliopsida; Apiales; Araliaceae
Description: long non-coding RNA (PGIN_LNC012883)
Source: RNAcentral
CCGGCGGUGGCGGCGAAGGUGGCGGAGUAAAGAAUGGUAUCGGCGGGAAAGACGGAACCGGAGGAAAGAAUGACGGUGGUGAAGGUGCGGGGAAAAUAGGUGGAAAAACCGACGGCGGAGGCGUAGGGAAAAUUGGAGGGAAUAUUGAAGGCGGGGGCUGGAAUGGAUUUGGAAUUAAAGGUGGCUGGAAUGGAUUUGGAGGAAAUACAAAUGUUUUCUGAUCAUUUGAAAAUUCAUCAUUUUUAGGUCCUGGAGGGAGAAUUGGAAGGUCUGGAAGUUGUGGCAGAGGAGGAAGCCUAGGCAGAAGUGGGAGUGGUGUAAAUUGACCUGGGUUAUCGAUCGGGGGUAUAAUUGAUGCUGGUGGAUCUUGGAGCGGUGGUGGAAACGGAGGAUCAAAAUUUGGAGAAUUAAUUAUCG